Oncorhynchus tshawytscha (Chinook salmon) is the source of this 1136-nucleotide long non-coding RNA. Lineage: Eukaryota; Metazoa; Chordata; Actinopteri; Salmoniformes; Salmonidae. The record is from Ensembl.
ACCAGCUUGGCGGCAGAGAGACAUGCUAGCUGUAAUCAGGUCAGUGUGGGACAAGUGGGUGGACCGCCUUAUUUUACAACCAUGGGCCCAGAAUUUCUGUUGAUGAACAGCUUAUGCCAUUUAGGGGCCGCUGCCCCUUCAGGAAGUUCCUACCAUCUAAACCCGCAAUAUAUGGAAUCAAGAUCUGGGCUGCCUGUGAUGCUGCUUCAUCAUAUGGGUUGAAAUGUCAAGUGUAUACGGAGAAGCCAGAUGGAGGAGCGCCUGAGAAGAUCCAAGGGAUGCGGAUUGUCCUGGACGUGACACAGGGACUCCGUGGGCCACAACAUCACAUGCAAUAACUUUUUUACUUUGCACAAGCUGGGACAGGAGUUCCUCAAAAGGAAGCGGACGAUGGUAGGAACAGUACAAAAAAACAAGCCAGAGCUCCCAACUCAGCUGUUGAAUACAUGGAACAGGCCUAUCAAUUCCUAUAAGUUUAUGUUCCCAGCCGUCACGUUCCGAGUGUCCUAAGUGCCAAAGAAAGGCAAAAAUGUGGUACUCUUGAGUACGCUGCAUAGGGAUUGGAGAAGCUGUGAAAAAACAGAAAUCAUAUUGGAUUACAAUGCCAGAAAAGGAGGGGUGAACAAUUUAGACAAGCUGGUGACUGGCUACAGCUGCAAAAGAAGAACCCUAUGCUGGCCACUUGCGAUAUUCUUCAACAUCUUUGACAUCUUGGUGUACAAAACGUGUUUGUCAUCUGGGUGGCGUUGAACCCAGAUUGGAACAGAGGGAAGCUCUAGGGGAGGGCUCUUUCUCGAGGAGUUGGGCAAGGCAUUGGUAAGACCUCAAAUCUAGAGGAGCCAAAAUAUCCCAAGGACCCAAGCUUCUGCAGCCAUCAUGAGGAGGAUUCAGGAGGAGGAUGCUGGUUCCCCAUCUGCCUGAUCCACAGAACCAACAACUCCAAACCGGAAAUUGCAGCCGGUAGCAACAAGAAGAAGUGUUGUGAUGAACAAGAAGACACAGUGCACAUACAUUAAGUGCAAGAAAUACAUUUGCAACACGCACACAGUAAAACUCAUGUCCCUCAUGUGUUUUGUAGACCGGCCUUCAUUUCUUUUCAAUGGGGCUCAUUUAUCAUUUCCAUAAAAUACUGUAGG